ACAAUUCUGAUGGACAGGAUGCAACAAGUUUUAAUUAUUUAUGGAAUAGGGACAGUGGAAGAAAAAAAAAAGAGAGAGAGAACUAUUGCAACAUAUUAUCUGGACAAGGAGCGCUGCGCUGUUGUUUUGUUUCUUUUUCUCCUUCUCUGAUCUUAGCUGUACCGAGGGGGAAGUAUACACAUGGUGAAGCAAAGCCAAGUGAUUUGCAAACGGAUGGAUUUGGGGAUAAAGUCCACCCGGAGUUGGCUGACUGACAACAGGCCACAGGUUAAAGAGGCCCUACCCUCUCCAGCGACAGAACCACUGCACAGUCUCCUAGAUUUUGUGCUGGUUAAGGACUUCAGAAGAAAGCACUGGAAGGCGCAGAGGUGGAAAGGUGCUCCUGACAACAUACACAGCGGUAAAAGUUGCUGAAAGAGCUACGUGGAUUCACGCCAGCCACUGCAGGAAGGUGCCUGCACCAGUACAACAAUAGAUCAACAAGCGUGCACAAUCAGCACCUGAACAACGGUUUUCCCUGACCUUGUGUUGUGAGUGAAGGAGGGAUUGGGAACGCUUAGGCACCCUUUGUCUCGGACUCACAGGCUGUUAGACAGCAAACAUAAACACAAGGGAGCUAGUGGGAAAACUCCUGGUCUCACCACUGCUGAUUUAAGUCACGCCGCAAAAAAUUAAGAGUGAGUAGCAUGGUUGUCUCUGGAAGGAGACAUCCAUGGGACCCAGUCAGACACCCAAAUAUGUGUGGCCUACGAGGAGCAACACAGAUGUUUGCUGCCAUUGCAAUAGCAUUAACAGCCUCUGUUGCAGUUCCUAGAUCACAAGCAUGAUGCACAAAAGCCACCACAACAGAACACCACAGUGAACUACAUGCAUUGGCAUCAAAUAGCAGUGUUAGAGGCAAGAGAAGCACCCAAAGAGGCUGGGCUGCUGGGCUAAUGUUUUAUGACUCCUCUUGUACGUUUGUGCCCAACAAUACAGCUCCAGAUGGUUCGGUGACCCGAGUGCUGGAAGGACUGCGUUCCCUAAGAGAAGAACUUGCAGAGAACUCUGAAGUGGACACUAACAUGUUUGACUGGUCUGAUUCUGUAUUUGCUAAAUAAAAGGCCUCAGUGAUGCCCAUA
Long non-coding RNA from Micropterus salmoides (largemouth bass), 1121 nucleotides. RefSeq lists it as uncharacterized. The transcript has 2 exons. The record is from RefSeq and is a predicted model, not a curated record. NCBI's taxonomy places the organism in Eukaryota, Metazoa, Chordata, Actinopteri, Centrarchiformes, Centrarchidae.